CCGAGUUUACAACUCCCAAACCCAAUGUGAACGUUACCAAACUGUUGCCUCGGCGGGAUCUCUGCCCCGGGUGCGUCGCAGCCCCGGACCAAGGCGCCCGCCGGAGGACCAACCAAAACUCUUAUUGUAUACCCCCUCGCGGGUUUUUUACUAUCUGAGCCAUCUCGGCGCCCCUCGUGGGCGUUUCGAAGAUGAAUCA
This 199-nucleotide unclassified non-coding RNA is filed under the name soil metagenome. Its description in RNAcentral is "partial internal transcribed spacer 1". The record is from RNAcentral.